AACGGCCAUAUCACGUUGAAACAACAGUUCCUGUACGAUCACCGAAAUUAAGCAACGCCGAGCCUGCUCAGUACCUAGAUAGGUGACCGCUUGGAAAUAACGCGCUGU
Non-coding RNA from Acanthosepion pharaonis, 108 nucleotides. The record is from the annotation of a GenBank genome assembly. Lineage: Eukaryota; Metazoa; Mollusca; Cephalopoda; Sepiida; Sepiidae.